CCUACGGGAGGCAGCAGUGGGGAAUAUUGCGCAAUGGGCGAAAGCCUGACGCAGUGACGCCGCGUGAGGGAUGAAGGUCUUCGGAUCGUAAACCUCUGUCAGCAGGGAAGAACGGUCACUGUGCUAAUCAGCAGUGAAUUGACGGUACCUGCACAGGAAGCACCGGCUAACUCCGUGCCAGCAGCCGCGGUAAUACGGAGGGUGCGAGCGUUAAUCGGAAUUACUUGUCGUAAAGCGCGAGUAGGCGGUAUGUCAAGUCAAGGGUGAAAUCCCCGCGCGCAACGUGGGAACUGCCUUUGAAACUGGCAAACUGGAGUGUGGGAGAGGAUAGUGGAAUUCCAGGUGUAGGAGUGAAAUGCGUAGAUAUCGGGAGGAACAUCAGUGGCGAAGGCGACUAUCUGGCACAUAACUGACGCUGAGGAGCGAAAGCGUGGGUAGCAAACAGGAUUAGAUACCCCAGUAGUC
This 465-nucleotide ribosomal RNA is filed under the name uncultured bacterium. RNAcentral describes it as "partial 16S ribosomal RNA". It matches the Rfam family "Bacterial small subunit ribosomal RNA", at positions 338 to 795 of the family's 1533-position model. The record is from RNAcentral.